Molecule: ribosomal RNA, 480 nt
Filed under: uncultured bacterium
Lineage: Bacteria
Description: partial 16S ribosomal RNA
Rfam family: Bacterial small subunit ribosomal RNA
Source: RNAcentral
GACGAACGCUGGCGGCGUGCUUAACACAUGCAAGUCGAGCGGAAAGGCCACUUCGGUGGUACUCGAGCGGCGAACGGGUGAGUAACACGUGAGUAAUCUGCCCCUGGCUUUGGGAUAGCCACCGGAGACGGUGAUUAAUACCGGAUACGACCACUUCUCGCAUGGGAUGGUGGUGGAAAGUUUUUUCGGCCAGGGAUGUGCUCGCGGCCUAUCAGCUUGAUGGUGAGGUAACGGCUCACCAUGGCUUCGACGGGUAGCCGGCCUGAGAGGGUGACCGGUCACACUGGGACUGAGACACGGCCAGACUCCUACGGGAGGCAGCAGUGGGGAAUAUUGGACGAUGGGCGGAAGCCUGAUCCAGCAACGCCGCGUGAGGGAUGACGGCCUUCGGGUUGUAAACCUCUUUCAGCAGGGACGAAGCGCAAGUGACGGUACCUACAGAAGAAGCACCGGCCAACUACGUGCCAGCCGCCGCCGUAA